This 386-nucleotide ribosomal RNA is filed under the name uncultured bacterium. RNAcentral's name for it is "bacterial SSU rRNA". It matches the Rfam family "Bacterial small subunit ribosomal RNA", at positions 29 to 416 of the family's 1533-position model. The record is from RNAcentral.
AUUGAACGCUGGCGGCAUGCCUUACACAUGCAAGUCGAACGGCAGCACGGGAGCAAUCCUGGUGGCGAGUGGCGAACGGGUGAGUAAUACAUCGGAACGUGCCCAGUCGUGGGGGAUAACGUAGCGAAAGCUACGCUAAUACCGCAUACGAUCUGUGGAUGAAAGCGGGGGACCGUAAGGCCUCGCGCGAUUGGAGCGGCCGAUGUCAGAUUAGGUAGUUGGUGGGGUAAAGGCCCACCAAGCCGACGAUCUGUAGCUGGUCUGAGAGGACGACCAGCCACACUGGGACUGAGACACGGCCCAGACUCCUACGGGAGGCAGCAGUGGGGAAUUUUGGACAAUGGGCGCAAGCCUGAUCCAGUAAUGCCGCGUGCAGGAUGAAGGCC